This is a long non-coding RNA of Neopsephotus bourkii (Bourke's parrot), 980 nucleotides long. RefSeq lists it as uncharacterized. The record is from RefSeq and is a predicted model, not a curated record. The transcript is spliced from 2 exons. NCBI's taxonomy places the organism in Eukaryota, Metazoa, Chordata, Aves, Psittaciformes, Psittacidae.
UUCUUCAAAAGACACACACUUUUCAUUCAACUGCACAGAAUGAAAAGGAAUUCAGUGAGCCAGAUUCCCUUGGUGAUCAGAUCCACUUUAGCUGCCCAGGGAGGACUCAAGGUGGAAAAGAGAAUAGAGGCUGUAUCUUGCCCCACAAGAAAGUGAUAAGCCAUCCUAAUAGAGCAGCUGUGACUGUCUCCCAUUCCACUAAGCUGCUCCAGUAACUGUGCAGAUUUCCAUCAGCCAAGAACACACUCAGAGUGUGCAGUGCUCAGCAGCAGCAUCCCUGCAGUCUGAGAAUGCACUGUGUUUGUCCAAGUCUUACAACGUUUCCAGAGCUUUUAUGAGAAGGGUACAUGUCAACGCUGUCCCAGGUAGAAGAUUUGCUACUCUUUGGUAUGUUAAUUCAUUAUUUCAGCUCUACUUUUUGACGGAGGCUUUGAUUCAGCCUACUCCUGCAAGAGAAUAACAAACUUCUGAUUUGGAUCUGCAGACUUAAUUAUUAUCCCACCAACAUAAAUAAGAAUUUCAUUUAAGUUCAGUUCCUGAAGAAAAAACUAUUGUGCCUACUUUGAUAAGGUGGUAUGAAAUCUAUCCAAACAUUUAUCAAAUUAUGUGAAAUCUUACUGGAAGAAUAUGUUCUGAGAUUUUGUGAAUAAAAUCCCCCAGGAAGCAGUAACACCAAAAUGUAUGUCAGAGCAGAGACUCACGAAGUUUGGUCCAAGGGGAAUUCAUUGCUCAUCUAGUGUUCACCUUUAUUCUUUUAUCCCAGUACACAACAGUACAAAAAGAGGAUGGCAAAGUAAAGAACCCAAACCAGCAUUUCUUUUCCAGAAAGGCAGAACUCUCUGCCAAACCCAGAUCCAGUUACAGAAACAAUUUCCAUUAUUUUCCUUCCUUUCAGUUACUGUAGUUCUGCAAAGAUGUUACACAGUGAUAAAUGGCAAGAAAGACAAUUCACAAAAAAGAUACUUAUUCCAAAGUUAUUA